Molecule: ribosomal RNA, 800 nt
Filed under: Sulfitobacter sp.
Lineage: Bacteria; Pseudomonadati; Pseudomonadota; Alphaproteobacteria; Rhodobacterales; Roseobacteraceae
Description: bacterial SSU rRNA
Rfam family: Bacterial small subunit ribosomal RNA
Source: RNAcentral
CGAGACCUUCGGGUCUAGCGGCGGACGGGUUAGUAACGCGUGGGAACGUGCCCUUCUCUGCGGAAUAGCCACUGGAAACGGUGAGUAAUACCGCAUACGCCCUUCGGGGGAAAGAUUUAUCGGAGAAGGAUCGGCCCGCGUUAGAUUAGAUAGUUGGUGGGGUAACGGCCUACCAAGUCUACGAUCUAUAGCUGGUUUUAGAGGAUGAUCAGCAACACUGGGACUGAGACACGGCCCAGACUCCUACGGGAGGCAGCAGUGGGGAAUCUUAGACAAUGGGCGCAAGCCUGAUCUAGCCAUGCCGCGUGUGUGAUGAAGGUCUUAGGAUCGUAAAGCACUUUCGCCAGGGAUGAUAAUGACAGUACCUGGUAAAGAAACCCCGGCUAACUCCGUGCCAGCAGCCGCGGUAAUACGGAGGGGGUUAGCGUUGUUCGGAAUUACUGGGCGUAAAGCGCGCGUAGGCGGAUUGGAAAGUUGGGGGUGAAAUCCCGGGGCUCAACCCCGGAACUGCCUCCAAAACUAUCAGUCUAGAGUUCGAGAGAGGUGAGUGGAAUUCCAAGUGUAGAGGUGAAAUUCGUAGAUAUUUGGAGGAACACCAGUGGCGAAGGCGGCUCACUGGCUCGAUACUGACGCUGAGGUGCGAAAGUGUGGGGAGCAAACAGGAUUAGAUACCCUGGUAGUCCACACCGUAAACGAUGAAUGCCAGUCGUCGGGCAGUAUACUGUUCGGUGACACACCUAACGGAUUAAGCAUUCCGCCUGGGGAGUACGGUCGCAAGAUUAAAACUCAAAGGAAUUGAC